AGUGACAUCACAGGAAAAACCACCAACCAGAGCCAAGGAGACCAGAGCCCAGCCCCUUGCCCAGAGGACCCCAGUCAGAGGCCUUAUCUCAGACCCAAGGCUAGCAUGGGCUGCAGGCUGCUCUGCUGUGCGGUUCUCUGUCUCCUGGGAGCAGUCCCCAUGGACACUGGAGUUACCCAGACACCAAGACACCUGGUCAUGGGAAUGACAAAUAAGAAGUCUUUGAAAUGUGAACAACAUCUGGGGCACAAUGCUAUGUACUGGUACAAGCAGAAAGCUAGGAAGCCACCGGAGCUCAUGUUUAUCUACAACUUUAAAGAACCGGCUGAAAACAACAGUGUGCCCAGUCGCUUCGUACCUGAAUGCCCAGACAGCUCUCUCUUCUACCUUCACCUACACGCCCUGCAGCCAGAAGACUCAGCUCUGUAUCUCUGCGCCAGCAGCCAAGACACAGCCUUGCAGAGUCACCACGUUCCUGCGCAGAAACCUUCAGGGCCUGCCAGGAAGCUGUGGGGGCCACGGAGGGCUCGGGUGAACAUUUCCUGCAAGAGCCCCGACAGAAGCUUCAGAACAUCACAGCACCUGCUAAUUCAUCCAUGUGGCAACUUUACAUCCCGUGCUCAUAUUUAGAGUGUGGGUUUUCUUUAGCGUGUGACUCUGCCCUGUCAACUGAUUUGAAAACGAUAAACACAUUCAGAUCUAGUCUUUUUAAAAUCCCUUUUUAAAUUGUAAAAUAAA
Mandrillus leucophaeus (drill) is the source of this 738-nucleotide non-coding RNA. NCBI's taxonomy places the organism in Eukaryota, Metazoa, Chordata, Mammalia, Primates, Cercopithecidae. The record is from the annotation of a RefSeq genome assembly.